CAGCCGCCGCGGUAAUACGAAGGGGGCUAGCGUUGUUCGGAAUCACUGGGCGUAAAGCGCACGUAGGCGGACUUUUAAGUCAGGGGUGAAAUCCCAAGGCUCAACCUUGGAACUGCCUUUGAUACUGGAAGUCUUGAGUUCGGGAGAGGUGAGUGGAACUGCGAGUGUAGAGGUGAAAUUCGUAGAUAUUCGCAAGAACACCAGUGGCGAAGGCGGCUCACUGGCCCGAUACUGACGCUGAGGUGCGAGAGCGUGGGGAGCAAACAGGAUUAGAUACCCGAGUAGUCCCUGUCUCUUAUAA
RNAcentral lists this ribosomal RNA (301 nucleotides) under uncultured bacterium. RNAcentral describes it as "partial 16S ribosomal RNA". It matches the Rfam family "Bacterial small subunit ribosomal RNA", at positions 509 to 809 of the family's 1533-position model. The record is from RNAcentral.